Molecule: small nuclear RNA, 326 nt
Filed under: Peromyscus maniculatus bairdii (prairie deer mouse)
Lineage: Eukaryota; Metazoa; Chordata; Mammalia; Rodentia; Cricetidae
Description: 7SK RNA (ENSPEMG00000004161.2)
Rfam family: 7SK RNA
About the family: 7SK was discovered as an abundant small nuclear RNA in the mid-70s but a possible function has only recently been suggested.
Source: Rfam by way of RNAcentral
GGAUGUGAGGGCGAUCUGGCUGCAACAUCUGUCGCCCCAUUGAUCGCCAGGGUUGAUUCGGCUGAUCUGGCUGGCCAGGCGGGUAUCCCCUUCCUCCUUCACUGCUCCAUGUGCGUUCCUCCCAAAGCUGCGUGCUUGGUCGAAGAGGACGACCUUCCCCGAAUAGAGGAGGACCGGUCUUCGGUCAAGGGUAUACGAGUAGCUGCGCUCCCCUGCUAGAACCUCCAAACAAGCUCUCAAGACUUAUUUAUUAUAUAUACAAUAUUCUGCCUGCAGGCCAGAAGAGGGCACCAGAUCUCAUUACAGAUGGUUGUUAGCCACCAUGU